AAGCAUAUCAAUAAGCGGAGGAAAAGAAACCAACAGGGAUUGCCUUAGUAACGGCGAGUGAAGCGGCAACAGCUCAAAUUUGAAAUCUGGCCCUCGGGUCCGAAUUGUAAUUUGUAGAGGAUGAUUUUGGUGCGGUAUCUUCCGAGUUCCUUGGAACAGGACGCCUUAGAGGGUGAGAGCCCCGUACGGUUGAAUGCCUAGCCUCUGUAAAUCUCCUUCGACGAGUCGAGUAGUUUGGGAAUGCUGCUCUAAAUGGGAGGUAAAUUUCUUCUAAAGCUAAAUAUUGGCCAGAGACCGAUAGCGCACAAGUAGAGUGAUCGAAAGAUGAAAAGCACUUUGAAAAGAGGGUUAAAUAGCACGUGAAAUUGUUGAAAGGGAAGGAUUUGUGACCAGACUUUUUCUGGGCGGAUCAUCCGGGGUUCUCUCCGGUGCACUUUGCCCAGUAAAGGCCAGCAUCGAUUUUCGGCGGCGGAUAAAAGCAGUGGGAAUGUGGCUCCCUACGGGGAGUGUUAUAGCCCAUUGUAUAAUACGCUGCUGGGGAUCGAGGUACGCGCUUCUGCAAGGAUGCUGGCGUAAUGGUUAUCAAUCACCCGUCUUGAAACACGGACCAAGGAGUCGAACAUUUAUGCGAGUGUUUGGGUGUUAAACCCUCACGCGUAAUGAAAGUGAACGGAGGUGAGAGCCCGUACGGGUGCAUCAUCGACCGAUCCUGAAGUUUUCGGAUGGAUUUGAGUAAGAGCAUAACUGUUCGGACCCGAAAGAUGGUGAACUAUGCGUGGAUAGGGUGAAGCCAGAGGAAACUCUGGUGGAGGCUCGCAGCGGUUCUGACGUGCAAAUCGAUCGUCAAAUCUGCGCAUGGGGGCGAAAGACUAAUCGAACCAUCUAGUAGCUGGUUACCGCC
This 901-nucleotide ribosomal RNA is filed under the name Pestalotiopsis chamaeropis. Its description in RNAcentral is "LSU rRNA". It matches the Rfam family "Eukaryotic large subunit ribosomal RNA", at positions 36 to 962 of the family's 3401-position model. The record is from RNAcentral. Lineage: Eukaryota; Fungi; Ascomycota; Sordariomycetes; Amphisphaeriales; Sporocadaceae.